UCACGAAUCUUUGAACGCACCUUGCACCCUUUGGCAUUCCGAAGGGUAUGCUCGUUUGAGUGUCAUUGUACUCUCACACUCCCAAUACUUUUGGAUUGGGAGCGGUGGACUUGGGUGUUGCUGCUUUACUGUGGCUCACCUCAAAUGGAGUAGUGCAACUCUCGGUUGGACAUAGUACGGCGUGAUAAGUGUCUUCGCCGGCGCCUCAUUAGAGGGUGGCCGAUCGGGAGCUCUGUGCUUCAAACCGUCUUCGGACAACAUCUGACAACUUGACCUCAAAUCGAGUAGGACUACCCGCUGAACUUAAG
RNAcentral lists this unclassified non-coding RNA (308 nucleotides) under uncultured Sebacina. RNAcentral's name for it is "sequence contains 5.8S rRNA gene". The stretch from base 1 to 65 matches the Rfam family "5.8S ribosomal RNA", at positions 90 to 154 of the family's 154-position model. The record is from RNAcentral. Lineage: Eukaryota; Fungi; Basidiomycota; Agaricomycetes; Sebacinales; Sebacinaceae.